UCCUCUCAGCCCUCCAUCCCCAUCCUGGGCAUCAUGGCUGGUGUGGCUAUCCUUGUGGUCACUGUGGUGGUUGGAGCUGUGAUCUGGAGGAAGAAGUUCUCAGGAGGAAAAGGACCAAGCUACUCUCUCGCUGCACGCAAUGGCAGUACCCAGGGCUCUGAUUCGUCUUUAAUGGCUCCUAAAG
This is a non-coding RNA of Puma concolor (puma), 184 nucleotides long. The record is from RefSeq and is a predicted model, not a curated record. Lineage: Eukaryota; Metazoa; Chordata; Mammalia; Carnivora; Felidae.